UACGAAGGGUGCAAGCGUUACUCGGAAUUACUGGGCGUAAAGCGUGCGUAGGUGGUUUCUUAAGUCCGUUGUGAAAGCCCUGGGCUCAACCUGGGAAUGGCAGUGGAUACUGGGAAGCUAGAGUGCGGUAGAGGAUGGUGGAAUUCCCGGUGUAGCGGUGAAAUGCGUAGAGAUCGGGAGGAACAUCAGUGGCGAAGGCGGCCAUCUGGACCAGCACUGACACUGAGGCACGAAAGCGUGGGUAGCAAACAGG
This 253-nucleotide ribosomal RNA is filed under the name uncultured bacterium. RNAcentral describes it as "partial 16S ribosomal RNA". It matches the Rfam family "Bacterial small subunit ribosomal RNA", at positions 524 to 776 of the family's 1533-position model. The record is from RNAcentral.